Molecule: ribosomal RNA, 253 nt
Filed under: uncultured bacterium
Lineage: Bacteria
Description: partial 16S ribosomal RNA
Rfam family: Bacterial small subunit ribosomal RNA
Source: RNAcentral
GACGAACCGUGCGAACGUUGUUCGGAAUCACUGGGCUUAAAGGGUGCGCAGGCGGCUCGCCAAGCCCGAAGUGAAAUGCCCCGGCCCAACCGGGGACGUGCUUCGGGGACUGGCGGGCUCGGGCGAGCUAGGGGUCCGUGGAACUCCCGGUGGAGCGGUGAAAUGUGUUGAGAUCGGGAGGAACGCCGGUGGCGAAAGCGACGGACUGGGGCUUUGCCGACGCUCAUGCACGAAAGCCAGGGGAGCGAACGGG